This 279-nucleotide ribosomal RNA is filed under the name uncultured bacterium. RNAcentral describes it as "partial 16S ribosomal RNA". It matches the Rfam family "Bacterial small subunit ribosomal RNA", at positions 506 to 784 of the family's 1533-position model. The record is from RNAcentral.
UGCCAGCCGCCGCGGUAAUACGAAUGGGGCAAGCGUUGUUCGGAAUCACUGGGCUUAAAGCGUGCGUAGGCGGACUAGCAAGUCAGGAGUGAAAUCCCAGGGCUCAACCCUGGAACUGCUCUUGAAACUGCAAGUCUAGAAUCCAGGAGAGGUUAGUGGAAUUCCGAGUGUAGAGGUGAAAUUCGCAGAUAUUCGGAGGAACACCAGUGGCGAAGGCGACUAACUGGACUGGUAUUGACGCUGAGGUACGAAAGCGUGGGGAGCAAACAGGAUUAGAUA